UCUUCCUCACCAUGUUCGGCGAGAAGCUGAAGGGCGCUGACCCCGAGGACGUCAUUCUUAGCGCCUUCAAGGUCCUGGACCCCGAGGGUAAAGGAUCCAUCAA
This is a long non-coding RNA of Hippocampus comes (tiger tail seahorse), 103 nucleotides long. RefSeq lists it as uncharacterized. The record is from RefSeq and is a predicted model, not a curated record. NCBI's taxonomy places the organism in Eukaryota, Metazoa, Chordata, Actinopteri, Syngnathiformes, Syngnathidae. The transcript is spliced from 2 exons.